GGGGCCAUAGCUCAGCUGGGAGAGCGCUUGACUGGCAGUCAAGAGGUCAGGGGUUCGAUCCCCCUUGGCUCCA
RNAcentral lists this transfer RNA (73 nucleotides) under Candidatus Zixiibacteriota bacterium. RNAcentral's name for it is "tRNA-Ala". It matches the Rfam family "tRNA". From Rfam's summary of the family: Transfer RNA (tRNA) molecules are approximately 80 nucleotides in length. Their secondary structure includes four short double-helical elements and three loops (D, anti-codon, and T loops). RNAcentral also lists the same sequence under 1 other name. Lineage: Bacteria; Pseudomonadati; Candidatus Zixiibacteriota. The record is from RNAcentral.